UGGGGAAUUUUGCGCAAUGGGGGAAACCCUGACGCAGCAACGCCGCGUGGAGGAUGAAGUCCCUUGGGACGUAAACUCCUUUCGAUCGGGAAGCUGCGGGGUGAAUACUCCCGCAGAGUGACGGUACCGAGAGAAGAAGCCCCGGCUAACUAC
This 153-nucleotide ribosomal RNA is filed under the name uncultured bacterium. RNAcentral's name for it is "partial 16S ribosomal RNA". It matches the Rfam family "Bacterial small subunit ribosomal RNA", at positions 355 to 504 of the family's 1533-position model. The record is from RNAcentral.